Molecule: small RNA, 1492 nt
Filed under: Leptolyngbya boryana UTEX B 485
Lineage: Bacteria; Bacillati; Cyanobacteriota; Cyanophyceae; Leptolyngbyales; Leptolyngbyaceae
Description: bacterial SSU rRNA
Rfam family: Bacterial small subunit ribosomal RNA (bases 1-1162)
Source: RNAcentral
GGGGAAUUUUCCGCAAUGGGCGAAAGCCUGACGGAGCAAUACCGCGUGAGGGAGGACGGCUUUUGGGUUGUAAACCUCUUUUAUCAGGGAAGAAUCGAUGACGGUACCUGAUGAAUCAGCAUCGGCUAACUCCGUGCCAGCAGCCGCGGUAAUACGGAGGAUGCAAGCGUUAUCCGGAAUUAUUGGGCGUAAAGCGUCCGUAGGUGGUUUAUCAAGUCUGCUGUCAAAGCGUGCGGCUUAACCGCAUAAGGGCAGUGGAAACUGAUGAACUAAAGUGCGAUAGGGGUAACAGGAAUUCCCAGUGUAGCGGUGAAAUGCGUAGAUAUUGGGAAGAACACCAGCGGCGAAAGCGUGUUACUGGGUCUGCACUGACACUGAGGGACGAAAGCUAUGGGAGCGAAAGGGAUUAGAUACCCUGUAGUCCUAGCCGUAAACGAUGACAACUAGGCGUGGUUCGUAUCGACCCGAGCCGUGCCGUAGCCAACGCGUUAAGUUGUCCGCCUGGGGAGUACGCACGCAAGUGUGAAACUCAAAGGAAUUGACGGGGGCCCGCACAAGCGGUGGAGUAUGUGGUUUAAUUCGAUGCAACGCGAAGAACCUUACCAAGGCUUGACAUCCUCGGAACCCUGAUGAAAGUUAGGGGUGCCUUCGGGAGCCGAGAGACAGGUGGUGCAUGGCUGUCGUCAGCUCGUGUCGUGAGAUGUUGGGUUAAGUCCCGCAACGAGCGCAACCCACGUUUUUAGUUGCCAGCAUUCAGUUGGGCACUCUAGAGAGACUGCCGGUGACAAACCGGAGGAAGGUGUGGAUGACGUCAAGUCAGCAUGCCCCAUACGCCUUGGGCUACACACGUACUACAAUGCGUCGGACAAAGAGCAGCCAGCCAGCGAUGGUGAGCCAAUCUCAUAAACCGGCGCUCAGUUCAGAUUGCAGGCUGCAACUCGCCUGCAUGAAGGCGGAAUCGCUAGUAAUCGCAGGUCAGCAUACUGCGGUGAAUACGUUCCCGGGCCUUGUACACACCGCCCGUCACACCAUGGGAGUUGGUCACGCCCGAAGUCGUUACUCUAACUGCUUGCAGAGGAGGACGCCGAAGGUGGGGCUGAUGACUGGGGUGAAGUCGUAACAAGGUAGCCGUACCGGAAGGUGUGGCUGGAUCACCUCCUUAAAAGGAGACCUACCCCUUCAGGUUGACUAUUUGUGUCAAUCAGAAGUUGGUCAUCUUAAGGUCGGUGAGAGUUGGUGCUAGGUUUCCAAACUUGUCUAGUUCAUAACACGCUCAGCAAUCAAGCUAGAUUGUGAGUAGAACAUCUCAAGCAAUAGUCAUAGGUUAACUAUGCUAACUGCUGAGAUUGUUCUCAGCCGAAGAACCAAGAAAACUGCAUAGUAAUGAUGUCAGGUAGAGAUACACAGACACCAAUGUAAAGGACUAAAACUGAUUGAAAUAAUUAGUGGUCAAGCUACAAAGGGCAGAUGGUGGAUACCUAGGCACACAGAG